UAUAGACAUGGAUACAUAAUAAGUGGUCCUUUAAAGAACAUAUGGAGAAGUUGCUGAAUGGGACCAAAGGACAAACAAUAGCCUGUGGACAAGUUAUGAGAGGUGAAGACCCGCCUGUGUAACAGCGAGACCAUGUCUCAAUUGAAAAAGAAAAACAACAACAACAACAAACAAAGGGAAUCCUUGUGACACACCACAUGCCGGGAAUUUCCCAAAGUGGGAAAAUCACAAGGAAGAUAGGCUAUCCAACAAAAAAAUGACAGCUCCAGAGGCCCAUACCCCUUCACAUGGAGGAAACUGUCCAUCCUCAGAGGAUAAACCUACUUUGGGUAAUACUGAGAUAGCCACUCACCCAAUGACACAGCUUUGAAGAACUUUUCAAAGUACGAAGAUACAACUUCAUCUGGAGACAACCCAUGUUGUGGAAUGGGAAGGGGGGUGUUACAGAAAAUAAAUGCUAUGCUUGGAUUCAGACUUGAGAUUUGGGGCUGGGAAGCAGAAGCUCCUGGCAAAACAUCAACCAUUAGCCCACACAAAUGACCCUGUUCAGGAUGCAGGACAGGAAAUAAAUUGAAGACUAGAAGCCCUACUCCUCCACCUCCAUGGGACUCCACAAAAUCCACCAUCUGGUAUUAAAUGUGUGCACACACACACACCACUUACAACAUAAAAAUCACCAAGUCGGUAUUGUUUUCCUUUUCUUCGUCCACACUGAUGAUUAUAAAUGCUUUUUUGAAUAAAAGGAAGCACAUUUG
Molecule: long non-coding RNA, 755 nt
Filed under: Pan troglodytes (chimpanzee)
Lineage: Eukaryota; Metazoa; Chordata; Mammalia; Primates; Hominidae
Description: long non-coding RNA NONPTRT003575
Source: RNAcentral